UGAGUCCAGUCAAAGAGGAUGUAAGARUCGUAAUAARGUUUUCGUAGGUAAACCUGCGGAAGGAUCAUUAUUGAAAGAAACCUCAGGCAGGGGGGAUAUGGUUGUAGCUGGCCUCUAGGGGCAUGUGCACACUGUGUCUCUCUUGCUUGUUUCUUCAUUUUCUCCACUUGUGCACUGCUUGUAGGCAGCCCUGUAUUGUUCAGGCUGUCUAUGAUUUUUUUUACAUACAUGAACAAUUGUUGUACAAAAUGUGAUAAAAAAUAGAAAUACAACUUUCAACAACGGAUCUCUUGGCUCUCGCACCGAUAAAAAACSCAGCAAAAUGCGAUAAGAAAUGUAAAUUGCAAAAUUCAGUGAAUCAUUAAAUCUUUAAACGCAUCUUGCGCCCCUUGGUAUYCCGAGGAGCAUGCCUGUUUGAGUGUCAUAAAAUUCUGUCAAAACAUGCACUUGAGUGUGUUUUGGAUUGUGGGAGUGUCUGCUGGCUUUAUGAGCCAGCUCUCCUGAAAUACAUUAGCUUUGGGGGGGAGGUGCCAAGUCACUUCUGCCUUUUCAUUGGUGUGAUAAAUGAAUUAACUUAUCUACCCCAGGAAAGCAGGCUUCAGGUGAUUACUAUGAUCUCUCUCUGCUCUCUAAUUGACAUUUGUCUGAUAACUURACCUCAAAUCAGGUAGGACUACCCGCUGAACUUAAGCAUAUCUCGAGUAG
This 705-nucleotide ribosomal RNA is filed under the name uncultured Amanita. RNAcentral's name for it is "eukaryotic LSU rRNA". The stretch from base 271 to 424 matches the Rfam family "5.8S ribosomal RNA". The record is from RNAcentral. Lineage: Eukaryota; Fungi; Basidiomycota; Agaricomycetes; Agaricales; Amanitaceae.